CCUACGGGAGGCUGCAGUGAGGAAUAUUGGUCAAUGGGCGCGAGCCUGAACCAGCCAAGUAGCGUGAAGGAUGACUGCCCUACGGGUUGUAAAUUUCUUUUAUAAAGGAAUAAAGUGAGGCACGUGUUCCUUUUUGUAUGUCCUUUAUGAAUAAGGAACGGCUAACUCCGUGCCAGCAGCCGCGGUAAUACGGAGGAUCCGAGCGUUAUCGGGAUUUAUUGGGUUUAAAGGGAGCGUAGAUGGGUUGUUAAGUCAGUUGUGAAAGUUUGCGGCUCAACAGUAAAAUUGCAAGUGAUACUGGCAGUCUUGAGUACAGUUGAGGUAGGCGGAAUUCGUGGUGUAGCGGUGAAAUGCUUAGAUAUCACGAAGAACACCGAUAGCGAAGGCAGCUUACUAAGCUGCCACUGACAUUGAUGCUCGAAAGUGUAGGUAUCAAACAGGAUUAGAUACCCGGGUAGUC
RNAcentral lists this ribosomal RNA (460 nucleotides) under uncultured bacterium. Its description in RNAcentral is "partial 16S ribosomal RNA". It matches the Rfam family "Bacterial small subunit ribosomal RNA", at positions 338 to 795 of the family's 1533-position model. The record is from RNAcentral.